CCCUUAGAUGUUCUGGGCCGCACGCGCGUUACAAUGAAUCGUUCAACAGGUUUCUUCCUGAGUCGAAAGGCUUGGGCAAUCCUUUAAAUACGGUUCGUGCUAGGGAUAGAUUUUUGCAAUUAUUAAUCUUGAACGAGGAAUAUUUAGUAAACGCAGGUCAUCAGCCUGCAUUGAUUACGUCCCUGCCCUUUGUACACACCGCCCGUCGCACCAACCGAUUGGAUGUUUUGUUGAAAUAUGUGGAUGCUUGUUGGGUGAAUUCAUUUUUGCUUGAUAGACAGAAACGUAUUAAAACUGAAUAUCUAGAGGAUGGUGAAGUCGUAACA
RNAcentral lists this ribosomal RNA (326 nucleotides) under uncultured eukaryote. Its description in RNAcentral is "partial 18S ribosomal RNA". It matches the Rfam family "Eukaryotic small subunit ribosomal RNA", at positions 1470 to 1796 of the family's 1831-position model. The record is from RNAcentral.